RNAcentral lists this ribosomal RNA (577 nucleotides) under fungal endophyte. Its description in RNAcentral is "eukaryotic LSU rRNA". It matches the Rfam family "Eukaryotic large subunit ribosomal RNA", at positions 21 to 594 of the family's 3401-position model. The record is from RNAcentral. Lineage: Eukaryota; Fungi.
GGAUACCCGCUGAACUUAAGCAUAUCAAUAAGCGGAGGAAAAGAAACCAACAGGGAUUGCCYUAGUAACGGCGAGUGAAGCGGCAACAGCUCAAAUUUGAAAGCUGGCGUCCCCGCGGGCGCCYGCGUUGUAAUUGGGAGAGGGUGCUUCGGCACCGGCCCCGGCCUAAGUUCUUUGGAACGAGACGUCAGAGAGGGUGAGAACCCCGUACGCGGCCGGCGGCGCGGCGCCAUGUGAAGCCCCUUCGACGAGUCGAGUUGUUUGGGAAUGCAGCUCUAAGUGGGAGGUAAAUUUCUUCUAAAGCUAAAUACCGGCCAGAGACCGAUAGCGCACAAGUAGAGUGAUCGAAAGAUGAAAAGCACUUUGGAAAGAGAGUCAAACAGCACGUGAAAUUGUUGAAAGGGAAGCGCUUGCACCCAGACGUGCCCGCCGUUGCUCACCCCGGCCCCCCGGCCGGGGGCACUCGGCGGCGGGCAGGCCAGCAUCAGUUCGGGCGGCGGGACAAAGGCGGCGGGAAUGUGGCUCUCCCCGGAGAGUGUUAUAGCCCGCCGCGGCAUGCCGCCAGCCCGGACUGAGG